This 322-nucleotide long non-coding RNA is filed under the name Felis catus (domestic cat). RNAcentral's name for it is "lncRNA (ENSFCAG00000045437.2)". Lineage: Eukaryota; Metazoa; Chordata; Mammalia; Carnivora; Felidae. The record is from RNAcentral.
AUGGUGUGUUCAUGAGUUUUUGUAUUAAUUAAAAUUUCUCAAUGGAAUACUUAAAGGCUUAGCGGAAAUUGAAUUGAGACCUUUGUCAAAGGUCUUUGAAAUCAUACGAUGAUGUUUCUUUUCUCUGGUAGGAAGACCGCCUUUGUGUGAUGGAGCAGACGUUGGGCUACCAUGACUCAGUGGCCUGCUCUGUGUCUCAGCGAUGCUAGAAGACUCACGUCUACACAAAAUGAAGCAUAUGGAAACACAGAUGAGAGGCAACAAACCAGAGUCACGUCCUAUUUCCUACGGACAGCACUUUCUGAAAGCCAGCAACAGGAAU